GAUGAACGCUGGCGGCGUGCCUAACACAUGCAAGUCGAGCGAACGGACGAGAACAUUGCUUCUCUGUUGUAGGCGGCGCAAGGGCCAGUAACGCAACAAUAACCUACCUAUAAGACUGCGAUAACUUCGGGAAACCGGCGCUUAAACCGGAUAAUAUUUUCAUCCGCAGGGUUCUAAAGUGAUAGCCGGUCUUGCUGUCCCUUACAGAUGGAUCCGCGCUGCAUUAGCUAGUUGGUAAGGUAACGGCUUACUAAGGCAACGAUGCCUAGCCGACCGGAGAGGGUGAUCGGCCACACUGCAACGGAGCCUCGGCCCGGACUACUGCGGGACGCAGCAGUAGGGAAUCGGCCGUAGUGGGCGCAGGCCUUACGGAACACCGCCGCGUGAGUGAUGAAGGUCUCCCCAUCGUAAAAGUCUGUUAGUAGUGAAGAACAUAUGUCUAAGUAACUGUGCACAUGCUGACGGUACCCAAUCAAAAAGCCACGGCUAACUUCGUG
Molecule: ribosomal RNA, 497 nt
Filed under: uncultured bacterium
Lineage: Bacteria
Description: partial 16S ribosomal RNA
Rfam family: Bacterial small subunit ribosomal RNA
Source: RNAcentral